This 253-nucleotide ribosomal RNA is filed under the name uncultured bacterium. RNAcentral's name for it is "partial 16S ribosomal RNA". It matches the Rfam family "Bacterial small subunit ribosomal RNA", at positions 524 to 776 of the family's 1533-position model. The record is from RNAcentral.
UACAGAGACUGCAAGCGUUAUUCGGAUUCACUGGGCGUAAAGGGUGCGCAGGUGGCUAGGUGUGUUAGGCGUGAAAGCCCGGGGCUUAACCCCGGAAUUGCACCUAAAACUACUUGGCUAGAGCAUUGGAGAGGGGAGCAGAAUUCAUGGUGUAGCAGUGAAAUGCGUAGAUAUCAUGAGGAAUACCAGAGGCGAAGGCGGCUCCCUGGACAAUUGCUGACACUCAGGCACGAAAGCGUGGGGAGCAAAAGGG